GCGCUCUUAGUUCAGCCUGGUAGAACGCAGGUCUCCAAAACCUGUUGACGGGGGUUCGAAUCCUCCAGAGCGCG
RNAcentral lists this transfer RNA (74 nucleotides) under Cyanobacteria bacterium QS_8_64_29. RNAcentral's name for it is "tRNA-Trp". It matches the Rfam family "tRNA". From Rfam's summary of the family: Transfer RNA (tRNA) molecules are approximately 80 nucleotides in length. The record is from RNAcentral. Lineage: Bacteria; Bacillati; Cyanobacteriota.